AAAACACGAAUCACUUUUAUUUAUAUUAUAUUACGGGAUUCGAGUGUUUGCAAACACUACGUUUACGUUUCUGCUCGCGAGCUAGAUACGAUUCAUUCCGCGUGCCGCCUUGUACACGAACGGAUCGAAUCGAUGGAUAUUAAUCGUCUUCCAUAUCUCGCUCCCUUCGCUCCCCCUUCCUUCGUGUCCCCUUUUCAAGGGGACGUUUCCCUCCCCCCGUAAUAGACGAGUAAUUAACGAAAUUCGAGUCGAAAAGAGUGACGCGCUUUCGAAAAAAAAAAAAAAAAAACGACUCGAAGCGACAGGGGUGGAAUGGAGGAUUAAUCGAGUCCGUGAAAAGGGAGGGAGGGGAUACGAGGGGGAGAGAGACGGAGGGAUAAGCAGAGGGGUGAAAAGCAGAACUCGUGAAUCAAGAGAGGAGAAGCAGCUUUCUGAAAAGCUGGCGGUGGUCGAUCCACUUUCAUCCACUUUCUCAUCCAAUGGCGUCGAGUGCAUCAAUAUAUUCGGGAAGGACGUGAUUUACGACGAGCAUUGUUCGCGGGGACGUUUAUCUGACUCCGUAAAUCGUUUCGUUGCGAGGAAUCGGGUAUCGUUGAUUGAAGUUUACCGUCGAAAACAAGAAAUUCCCUAGGCUGUUCCUCGGAUCUUUGACUGGAGGGAAGGGUGAGGGAAGAAAGAGGAGAGGAAACUUGGGUCAUAUUUCG
Long non-coding RNA from Apis dorsata (giant honeybee), 704 nucleotides. RefSeq lists it as uncharacterized. The transcript has 2 exons. NCBI's taxonomy places the organism in Eukaryota, Metazoa, Arthropoda, Insecta, Hymenoptera, Apidae. The record is from RefSeq and is a predicted model, not a curated record.